This 386-nucleotide ribosomal RNA is filed under the name uncultured bacterium. RNAcentral describes it as "bacterial SSU rRNA". It matches the Rfam family "Bacterial small subunit ribosomal RNA", at positions 30 to 399 of the family's 1533-position model. The record is from RNAcentral.
AGUGAACGCUGGCGGCAGGCCUAACACAUGCAAGUCGAGCGGCAGCGGGUCCCCGCGAGGGGAUGCCGGCGAGCGGCGGACGGGUGAGGAACACAUCGGAAUCUGCCUGGUUGUGGGGGAUAACGUAGGGAAACUUACGCUAAUACCGCAUGCGACCCUGAGUCGACGGACUGGGGGUGAAAGUGAGGGACCUUCGGGCCUCACGCGACCAGAUGAGCCGAUGUCGGGUUAGCAGUUGGCGGGGUAACGGCCCGCCAAGGCGACGAUCCGUAGCUGGUCUGAGAGGAUGAUCAGCCACACUGGGACUGAGACACGGCCCAGACUCCUACGGGGAGCAGCAGUGGGGAAUCUUGGACAAUGGGCGCAAGCCUGAUCCAGCCAUGCCG